AGGUUGAAUGGAGUGCUGAGGACUUUUGGAGGGUGGCCAGUAGGAUGAGUUGGAUCUGUUCUUCGUAGCAAAGGUGAUGCCGUUGCAGACAGGUACCUGAAAUAAAAUUCACACUCAUCUCUAAUAUCAGCAAGUAGGUGAUCUGGUUGUGCCCCUGGCCCGCUGCCGCUGACGGAAAUAUGAAGCUGUUGGCUAGGGACAAGAAGGUUGCAGUUCCACUGCAGCCAACUGCCCAUUUUACUGGUCAAACUACUUAGUGGGUACAAGCAUGUCAUUCUGGACAUAAAUACUACUCUUGCACCCUCCUGAUGUUGGCUGGACAAAAACAAAUGGUGUUGGGGGCUUGGGGCUUUCAGUUCUAGGCCUUGGGAAGCGGCCUAUGGAUCCAUUGCUUGUGAUCACCAGGGCCAAUUCUACCCAAAUGCAGCUAAUGCCCUCUCUAUGGAGGCUCAUGCUAUUCGAGAUGGUGUGAUUCUUGCGACUUUGCGAGGGAUAUGAAGUUUCAGAAAGUAAUUAUUGAAACUGAUUCUCUGGUGCUCUCAAAGCGGCUGAACAAUGGUAACUUUAAGCGUUCAGAAAUUGCACCUAUUCUCUAUGAUGUAAUGGAGCUUAGCAAGGGUUUUUCUUGGUUCCCUAUUGUUUUUAUUUGAAGAGUAGGCAAUGUUGCCGCACAUCUCUGUGCUCAUACUAUGGUAAGGAAAGGAGAAGUACAUUUGGACUGAAUAUGCACCUGAUUUUAUCUGUAAUUGCCUUUCCGUUGAUUGUAACCCUGUUGCUAUGGAAUGAAAAGCUCCUUAAUCGCAAUUUUUUCGUGUAUAUUUGAAGUUUUUUUCACACACAUGCCAUCAGC
Lolium perenne is the source of this 850-nucleotide non-coding RNA. Lineage: Eukaryota; Viridiplantae; Streptophyta; Magnoliopsida; Poales; Poaceae. The record is from RefSeq and is a predicted model, not a curated record.